AAGGUAAAGAAAGGAUUCGGAAAUACAAAUCGUUUACUUUAUUUUACACACAACAGCUAUACAAUAUAUCUUACACUCUGAAGACCUCGACAACCUUUUUGCACGCACGCUUGUUCUCAACCGACUCUUCCAGAUUCUUCUAACAUCUGGCAACAGUCGUUUGUCUCCACUAAGACCUGGACACCCUCUGAUGCUUACACACACAUUCACAUGUACAGUGUAAAUGUAUUAUCUACCCAACAAUUGUAUUGAAAAUA
Molecule: long non-coding RNA, 257 nt
Organism: Bombus impatiens (common eastern bumble bee)
Lineage: Eukaryota; Metazoa; Arthropoda; Insecta; Hymenoptera; Apidae
Exons: 3
Source: RefSeq, a predicted model, not a curated record